Molecule: ribosomal RNA, 465 nt
Filed under: uncultured bacterium
Lineage: Bacteria
Description: bacterial SSU rRNA
Rfam family: Bacterial small subunit ribosomal RNA
Source: RNAcentral
CCUACGGGGGGCAGCAGUGGGGAAUUUUGGACAAUGGGCGCAAGCCUGAUCCAGCAAUGCCGCGUGCAGGAAGAAGGCCUUCGGGUUGUAAACUGCUUUUGUACGGAACGAAACGGCUCUGGUUAAUACCCGGGGCUAAUGACGGUACCGUAAGAAUAAGCACCGGCUAACUACGUGCCAGCAGCCGCGGUAAUACGUAGGGUGCAAGCGUUAAUCGGAAUUACUGGGCGUAAAGCGUGCGCAGGCGGUUUUGUAAGACAGGCGUGAAAUCCCCGGGCUCAACCUGGGAAUGGCGCUUGUGACUGCAAAGCUGGAGUGCGGCAGAGGGGGAUGGAAUUCCGCGUGUAGCAGUGAAAUGCGUAGAUAUGCGGAGGAACACCGAUGGCGAAGGCAAUCCCCUGGGCCUGCACUGACGCUCAUGCACGAAAGCGUGGGGAGCAAACAGGAUUAGAUACCCGGGUAGUC